AUGGCGGGGCGCAAGGAGACGGCGCUCAACCUGGCCAAGUUUGUCGACAAGGGCGUCCAGGUCAAGCUCACCGGCGGCCGCCAAGUUACAGGAACUUUAAAGGGAUAUGACCUACUGCUGAACUUAGUGCUGGAUGAAGCAAUCGAGUCUGAAAGAUAUAUAUGGACACGGAUUGGCCUUCAUUAUUUUGUAUCUACUGUUAGAUAUAUGCUAUGCUGGCGUUUCAUGUUUCGUCGCGAGCAUCAAGACGAAGAAGUCGGCAGAAGCAUAGUGCAAGCUCAUCGGAGCUAG
RNAcentral lists this ribosomal RNA (291 nucleotides) under Triticum aestivum (bread wheat). RNAcentral's name for it is "partial small subunit ribosomal RNA". The record is from RNAcentral. Lineage: Eukaryota; Viridiplantae; Streptophyta; Magnoliopsida; Poales; Poaceae.